UGGGGGAUAGUAUAAUGGCAGUACAGCGGUCUCUGGAACCGUGAGUCUAGGUUCGAAUCCUAGUCCCCCAG
This 71-nucleotide transfer RNA is filed under the name Anaerolineales bacterium. RNAcentral's name for it is "tRNA-Gln". It matches the Rfam family "tRNA". From Rfam's summary of the family: Transfer RNA (tRNA) molecules are approximately 80 nucleotides in length. Their secondary structure includes four short double-helical elements and three loops (D, anti-codon, and T loops). The record is from RNAcentral. Lineage: Bacteria; Bacillati; Chloroflexota; Anaerolineae; Anaerolineales. RNAcentral also lists the same sequence under 1 other name.